UAAGGAAUAUUGGUCAAUGGACGCAAGUCUGAACCAGCCAUGCCGCGUGAAGGAUGAAGGUCCUCUGGAUUGUAAACUUCUUUUAUGUGGGAAGAAACCACCUUUUUCUAAGGGUGUUGACGGUACCAUAGGAAUAAGCACCGGCUAACUCCGUGCCAGCAGCCGCGGUAAUACGGAGGGUGCAAGCGUUAUCCGGAUUCACUGGGUUUAAAGGGUGCGUAGGCGGAAUUGUAAGUCCGUGGUGAAAUCUCCAAGCUUAACUUGGAAACUGCCAUGGAUACUAUAGUUCUUGAAUGUUGUGGAGGUUUGCGGAAUAUGUCAUGUAGCGGUGAAAUGCUUAGAUAUGACAUAGAACACCGAUUGCGAAGGCAGCAGGCUACACAAAUAUUGACGCUGAGGCACGAAAGCGUGGGGAUCAAACA
RNAcentral lists this ribosomal RNA (422 nucleotides) under uncultured Chitinophaga sp. RNAcentral's name for it is "bacterial SSU rRNA". It matches the Rfam family "Bacterial small subunit ribosomal RNA", at positions 355 to 774 of the family's 1533-position model. The record is from RNAcentral. Lineage: Bacteria; Pseudomonadati; Bacteroidota; Chitinophagia; Chitinophagales; Chitinophagaceae.